This is a long non-coding RNA of Alligator mississippiensis (American alligator), 3142 nucleotides long. RefSeq lists it as uncharacterized. The transcript has 2 exons. The record is from RefSeq and is a predicted model, not a curated record. Lineage: Eukaryota; Metazoa; Chordata; Crocodylia; Alligatoridae.
UUCUGCUGGAAAGGAGGAGAAGAUAACCAGCCACUAGCACCUUAGCUCCUGUGGCCCAGCUCAAGGGCACGGGGGGAGCUUUACCUCCUGAGAGCUAGGAUACAAGGAGGCCACCGAGCCUGCUGUGAUAGGAAUUCCCAGUGGCUACACGGCAUGCGGGAACUUCUCAAAGGAAGAUUGUAGCGAUCAAGGAUAUUCAGGGAUACAGAAAACGAGCUGGAAAGGAGGAUGUCUUCCUCCAGGGGCCAAACAGGAAUGGGAGAGGAAGUGUGGCCUUCUGAUUGAGGAACUGUGACUUGGGAGAGAGCGAGGCUCUGCUCCAUCCCCUGCCGCUGAUUCCCCAUGGGACCUUGGUCAUGUCACUUUUAAUCUGUGCUUGUUUGUCCCCCUCUCUGUAAAAUGGGGACAAUCCUCCUUCUUUACUUGCAGAUGCUUUUCAACAUGCAGGUAUAUGGGAGAUACCAGAGUACCACAGAUGUACAGGAUGAAUUAUGAUGCUGGAAAUCAAGAGGUAUCUGCAGUGGUAGGAGGGUUUGAGUAAUUGGAUUCGCAGAGUGUGCUAGUCUGUUUGAACUAGAAGACCUUUACUUAAACAGAUGUGGCUUAAAGGGCUCGUAAGAUUGAGCAGUGGGGUGAGAAGAGCUUUUCCUUCACUUGAAAAACACAGCGAGCCCUUCUGGGGCGCGGACAGGAUGGAAGAGCUCCAGAACAGAAUAAACACUCUCAAGUGUUGGUGAACAAACACAUGCUGGAAGUGUUAUUAGGUGACAAACCAUGCAAUCUAGUGGACACAGAUACGACCCAACUGGAUGGGCUUCACAUCCAGAAUGAUCCUGGAGCCCGGACAUCUGCCACGCCACCGGCUUCGGUUCAGCAAGGCAGAAUGGAGCAAAUGCUUUGCACGCGAACACGAGGAAGGAAAGAUUAAAGGAGAAAUAGCAGCAGACAUCUGCUAGGGACCAGCCCCCCUCAAAGGGGAGUGAACACAGCAAUUCCUGGAUCUACUCCGAUAGUUCUUGAAACUCCAGAUCACAGCACUCGGGAGGAAUUUUAAAUAUCCGGACAUCUGCUGUGUAACAAAUGCAGCCAAAUUUUCACGAAGGAGAUUCGAAGAUAGAAAGACGACAAGUAGAACCUGCUGAAAAAAAAAUUAAAAUCAGAAGAGAAGCCAUCCUGAAUUUAGCUUCGACCAACAAGCCGACAGGGAUUGAAAAUGUGAGAAUAAAGAACAAGCGGUGCCUGCACUGACAGGCUCUGAUAUGUCCAGAGUAAGGAAUGGGCCCAGUUCAGGGGGGUCCAAGCACAGCUGGAGGCCAGGAUGUCGCAUUUUGGGGGAAGAAAGAAAUGAAGGGAGGGAUCCUGACACUACCGAAGUCAAUGGGCAGAUGCCCAUUGAUUUCCAGUAGGGUUCAGCUCUCACCGUAAGUGAACACAGUAUUAUAGUAAGCAGUAUUAAAACCUGAUGUGCAUACAUGAAGAGUGGAAGUGGCAGAAAGGAUCAGACCCACAAAGCAGGGAAGUUUCAAGCAAGGCAAAGGCACAAUCCUCAUCUUGAACAAUGCCAGGAACACGGGUGGCCAACGUGGUUUCACUUGGGAGCUUUCAAAGAAUGAGGUAAGAAAAUCCUCGCUGCAGUUACUGGAAAAGGAGCAGCAGCAGCAGCCAGAAAACAGCACAAAUGAACAGCCCUAGGGGCCAAGGUGAAGGAAUAGGACGUUUAUUGUUCUGUUUUGGGGAAGUCGUUAACAUGACUACAUGUUGAGGGGAGGGGGUGAAAAGAAGUGCAACUCAAAAAAGGAUGAUGCAUUUUGAAAAAAUCCUUCCUUAAGAAAAAUAAGAAGCUGAGAUCAACAGGAAAUGGAUAAGGACCUUACAAAAGAACGAGCACUGAGAAAUGUAAGGCUAUUUUCUGAACCCUCAAACACAAAUCAACUGUUCCUGCUGGCAAAGACUGCAAUGGAACCGAUCUUGUUGAGAAAAAAAGGCUCAUUAGACUGCCUUAGACUUGAAGCUCUUUGGAGCAAUGCCUAUUCUGUUUUCCUAAAACAGGGGGGCUCCAAUCUUGGCUGGUUUCAGGGCGGUGCUGUAAUAACCAUGAUUUAUUCAUCAUGGAAGUGAUCUUGACUUGCGUUCUGAGAAUGUCAUCACCGGGAACAGCAGCACAAAUACGAGGGAGCUCGGCAAAAUGCAGCUUGCUUGAAGUGACUUUCCAUUCCCAAGUCGCUGAAUAAACUAAGCAGCAUUUCACUGGAGCAGAGAGAAAUGCAACCACUGCAGAGGGUCCUGAUGCUUCCGAUGGAUCUAAAGCAAUGAGGUGAAAGGCUUGGGAAGAAAGAGGGAAAGGCUUUGGGAAGGAAAACAUUCUCAAGAGGGACAAGGGAAGGCUGGAGGCUCAGCCAGGUGUGAGUGAGCAUGUUUCAAUGAGGCACAGGUGCUGUUCACCUCUGAUGCCUCCCCAGUGGAAGAUACGGGCUCUCGGCCCCUUCAGGAUCAGGCCUAGAGCACCCCACGUUGCUCUGAAGCCCAGCAUUACCUGUGGGCUCCACCUCCAGAACCUGGAUGUGCUCAUGACUGGGAUGAAUCAUCUCACUGUAAGGUGCUGGGAUACGUGGUUGCUAGUCAUUGCAAGAAAGGACAGGAGAACCCAGCUCAGCGAUUCCUUUGCCUUGUAGUUCAUCCCAGAGGAGUCUAUGUGGAUCGGGAUGUUUGUGUGUGGAAGUGAGACAAUUUGCAGAGUUCUUGCUACCGCAGAGGUCAACGCGAAGGUGCAGGUUUGGAGAACGGGUGCAGAUUGACGUCACUGGUUAGAGAGUUGACAGAUUAUUCUUGCGCUCAACAUUUACUGUAAAUAAUUCUUGAAAUCAACCCAGCCACAUCAGCGAGUCAUUCCAAGAAUAAUGUGGCAAGUCUCUGACAGGCACGGAUAGCUGCUGAUGGAGGAUCAACCUGCGAUGCUACUUAUUUUACAAGACCUUUUUAUUCUAUUUCACAGAUUUGACUAUUACAGCAGUGAAAUUAUUACAAGUGACUCAUAACAUUUAGGGUCAAAUUAAAGUAGAAAAAACACAAACACAAAGGAAAGUUACAUGUGAUGCAAUGUGUGGUAAAUGUGUUUUAAGAGCACAGAAAAAAUAUAUAAAAA